This 465-nucleotide ribosomal RNA is filed under the name uncultured bacterium. Its description in RNAcentral is "bacterial SSU rRNA". It matches the Rfam family "Bacterial small subunit ribosomal RNA", at positions 441 to 917 of the family's 1533-position model. The record is from RNAcentral.
GGGAAAUAAACAAAUGAAUGUACCAUGACAAGAAAGGAUCGGCUAACUUCGUGCAGCAGCCGCGGUAAGACGAGGGAUCCUAGCGUUGUUCGGAAUCAUUGGGCGUAAAGCGGGCGUAGGUGGCUAUUUAAGUCAGUUGUGAAAAGCCUGGGGCUCAACCCCAGAAGUGCAAUUGAUACUAUUUAGCUUGAGUGUGGAAAAGGUAACUAGAAUUCCUGGUGUAGUGGUAAAAUACGUAGAUAUCAGGAGGAAUGCCGGUUGCGAAGGCGGGUUACUAGUCCAACACUGACACUGAGGCCCGAAAGCGUGGGGAUCAAACAGGAUUAGAUACCCUGGUAGUCCACGCCAUAAACGAUGAAUACUCGUUGUUGGAGGUAUUGACCCCUUCAGUGACUAAGCUAACGCGUUAAGUAUUCCGCCUGGGAAGUACGGUCGCAAGAUUAAAACUCAAAGAAAAUUGACGGG